Molecule: unclassified non-coding RNA, 339 nt
Filed under: soil metagenome
Description: partial contains 5.8S ribosomal RNA, internal transcribed spacer 2, and large subunit ribosomal RNA
Rfam family: 5.8S ribosomal RNA (bases 1-120)
Source: RNAcentral
GAUGAAGAACGUAGCGAAAUGCGAUACGUAGUGUGAAUUGCAGAAUUCAGUGAAUCAUCGAAUCUUUGAACGCACAUUGCACCUCUCGGUAUUCCGGGAGGUAUGCCUGUUCGAGCGUCAUUUGUACCCUCAAGCUCUGCUUGGUGUUGGGUGUUUGUUCCGCCUCUGUGUGUGAACUCGCCUCAAAACAAUUGGCAGCCGGCGUACUUGUUUCGGAGCGCAGCACAUUUUGCGAUCCAGAUCAACGUACAGCGGCAUCCAAGAAGCCUUAUUUAACGCUCUUGACCUCGGAUCAGGUAGGGAUACCCGCUGAACUUCAGCAUAUCAAUAAGCGGAGGA